AAGAAGUAAACUGUGAGUUCCCGUGCCAACGUUUGACUGUCCGUCUUAUAUGAAAUUUUUUUAUAAUUAGUAUUUUUAUUGUUGUUAGAUGAUAAAACAUGAUUAAUACUUUAUGUGUGACUUAUCUUUUUAAUUUUUUUUAUAUUUUUUCAAAUAAGACGGACGGUCAAACGUUGGACACGGAAAUCAGGGUUUGUCUUUUU
MicroRNA precursor from Oryza sativa Japonica Group (Japanese rice), 203 nucleotides. It matches the Rfam family "MIR812 microRNA precursor family". NCBI's taxonomy places the organism in Eukaryota, Viridiplantae, Streptophyta, Magnoliopsida, Poales, Poaceae. The record is from Rfam.